UGGGGAAUAUUGGACAAUGGGGGAAACCCUGAUCCAGCGACGCCGCGUGUGUGAAGAAGGCCUGCGGGUUGUAAAGCACUUUCGGUGGGAACGAAAUAUGCCGGGCUAAUACCCCGGUAGGCUGACGUUACUCAAUGAAGAAGCACCGGCUAACUCUGUGCCAGCAGCCGCGGUAAUACAGAGGGUGCGAGCGUUAAUCGGAAUUACUGGGCGUAAAGCGCGCGUAGGCGGCGACGUAAGUGUAGGGUGAAAUCCCACGGCUCACCCGUGUGAAUUGCCCCGCAUACUGCGUUGCUUGAGUGUGGUAGGGGAGAGCGGAACUCCUGGUGGAGCGGUGAAAUGCGUAGAUAUCAGGAGGAACACCGGUGGCGUAGGCGGCUCUCUGGUCCAUAACUGACGCUGAAGUGCGAAAGCUAGGGUAGCGAACGGGAUUAGAUACCCAGGUAGUCCCUGAGCGGGCUGGCAAGGCGCAU
This 473-nucleotide ribosomal RNA is filed under the name uncultured bacterium. RNAcentral's name for it is "bacterial SSU rRNA". It matches the Rfam family "Bacterial small subunit ribosomal RNA", at positions 355 to 825 of the family's 1533-position model. The record is from RNAcentral.